This 461-nucleotide ribosomal RNA is filed under the name uncultured bacterium. RNAcentral's name for it is "bacterial SSU rRNA". It matches the Rfam family "Bacterial small subunit ribosomal RNA", at positions 29 to 484 of the family's 1533-position model. The record is from RNAcentral.
AACGAACGCUGGCGGCGCGCCUAAUACAUGCAAGUCGAGCGAGAAGACGUAGCAAUACGUUUGUAAAGCGGCGAACGGGUGAGGAAUACAUGGGUAACCUACCCUCGAGUGGGGAAUAACUAGCCGAAAGGUUAGCUAAUACCGCGUACGCUCCUUGGACUUCGGUUCAGGGAGGAAAGCGAUACCGUGGGUAUCGCGCUCUUGGAUGGGCUCAUGUCCUAUCAGCUUGUUGGUGAGGUAACGGCUCACCAAGGCUUCGACGGGUAGCUGGUCUGAGAGGACGAUCAGCCACACUGGCACUGCGACACGGGCCAGACUCCUACGGGAGGCAGCAGUAAGGAAUAUUGCGCAAUGGGCGAAAGCCUGACGCAGCGACGCCGCGUGGGGGAUGAAGGUCUUCGGAUUGUAAACCCCUUUCGGAGGGAAGAUGGAACGAGCAAUCGUUCGGACGGUACCUCCGG